This 330-nucleotide ribosomal RNA is filed under the name uncultured bacterium. Its description in RNAcentral is "bacterial SSU rRNA". It matches the Rfam family "Bacterial small subunit ribosomal RNA", at positions 568 to 898 of the family's 1533-position model. The record is from RNAcentral.
UCCGUAGGCGGUGUGGCAAGUCGGGGUGAAUACUCUGGGCGUUAACUCAGAGACUGCCUCCGAAACUGCCGUGCUUGAGUGUGGGAGAGGCGCGUGGAAUUGCAGGUGUAGCGGUGAAAUGCGUAGAUAUCUGCAGGAACACCCGUGGCGAAAGCGGCGCGCUGGACCACAACUGACGCUGAGGGACGAAAGCUAGGGGAGCAAACAGGAUUAGAUACCCUGGUAGUCCUAGCCCUAAACGAUCAGGACUUGGGGUGUCUCGCGUCCGCGAGACGUCCCGGAGCUAACGCGUUAAGUCCUGCACCUGGGGAGUACGGUCGCAAGACUGAA